AGACCCGAAACCCGGUGAUCUAGCCAUGGGCAGGUUGAAGGUUGGGUAACACUAACUGGAGGACCGAACCGACUAAUGUUGAAAAAUUAGCGGAUGACCUGUGGCUGGGGGUGAAAGGCCAAUCAAACCGGGAGAUAGCUGGUUCUCCCCGAAAGCUAUUUAGGUAGCGCCUCGUGAAUUCAUCUCCGGGGGUAGAGCACUGUUUCGGCUAGGGGGCCAUCCCGGCUUACCAACCCGAUGCAAACUGCGAAUACCGGAGAAUGUUAUCACGGGAGACACACGGCGGGUGCUAACGUCCGUCGUGAAGAGGGAAACAACCCAGACCGCCAGCUAAGGUCCCAAAGUCAUGGUUAAGUGGGAAACGAUGUGGGAAGGCCCAGACAGCCAGGAUGUUGGCUUAGAAGCAGCCAUCAUUUAAAGAAAGCGUAAUAGCUCACUGGUCGAGUCGGCCUGCGCGGAAGAUGUAACGGGGCUAAACCAUGCACCGAAGCUGCGGCAGCGACGCUUAUGCGUUGUUGGGUAGGGGAGCGUUCUGUAAGCCUGCGAAGGUGGCCUGUGAGGGUUGCUGGAGGUAUCAGAAGUGCGAAUGCU
Molecule: ribosomal RNA, 591 nt
Filed under: Salmonella enterica subsp. enterica serovar Heidelberg
Lineage: Bacteria; Pseudomonadati; Pseudomonadota; Gammaproteobacteria; Enterobacterales; Enterobacteriaceae
Also listed under: 1 other name
Description: partial 23S ribosomal RNA
Rfam family: Bacterial large subunit ribosomal RNA
Source: RNAcentral